AUGGCUUUGCAACAAGCAUGGCGUUCUUCAAAAGAAAGACCAGUGAUCCUGGCUUCUUGCUUAAAUGGAAAUGAACUAAUCCUGCUUUAUGGUCAGCAUCACAGACAUGGAAUGGAGCCCACACAGGUGGGCUCCCUCUUGAAACAAAGAACAGAACGUGUCUUUAACAAGGUAGAGUGUCGACGGCAAAGAAAACCUCGUCGUUUAGUUGUGACAGGUUGUUUCCAAAAUAGCAGCUGUGACAACCAGCAUAAAUAUAGGCGUCUCUCGGUGCUUCGGCGCGUGUCCUCGCCGCCCUCUCAGAGCCCAGCGGGACCCAGAGGCUGUGCCACCCACGACCAAGGGGUCAAGGGCUUUUGACUACAAAGUGCUCCAUUUAGUGAAUUUCCUUUCUGCCUUAAAAUGCUGGGAUGGAUGCCCUGGGGACUGCCUUGCAGGUGAGUGAGCGGGAGAGCUGGGUCACGUGGCUGCCUCCCAGCUGGCCCCCAGCCUCCAAAGUGCCUGAGUCUUCCCCAGGACUAACCCUCGCUGGCAUUUUCUAAUCCCUGGAAGAGAGUACUCUUUGCUUUCCCCUUUUUAUUUUAAUUAUAACCAACAGGCAAAUGCUUAAGCUGGUAAAAAAAAAGUACAAGUAAUCUUCAAAAAUUUCAUGGAAAAAAUGCCUACCAAAGAAAAUUAAUUGCGAGUAGAUUUCAAACAAAUUCUGCACCAAAAUAAGUGUACCUUUUCAGCUCAUUUUCCAUGAACUUUUGAAGUAUACUUACACAAGUGCUCCUCCCCCUGGGGUUCCGCCCUGAUAAACCCCACGUGCGUGGAUAACGCGUUAAACUGAACGUGCAUUGGACGAUGCAGGCCACCUCGCACUGUGGUUUAGCUUCACAGUAUGCGUAGAGUAUUAAUUAUGCUCCCAUUGUUGGGGCUGAUGGGGAGCUGUGGCUGCUCAGCUCCACGAGACAGUGCCCGGCUGCAUAUUGCUAGCUGUGGGAAAGAUCAAAAUUCCAAAUUCGCAAUGUGGUUUCUACUGAAUGUGUAUCACUUCUGCACCACAGCAGAGUCAAAAAUCCUGAAUGAAGCAAACCAUCAUCUGCUGGGGACUGUCUGGACAAAGGAAUGCAUUUGUUCAGAAAUAAACCUAAAGUCUUCCGAUAUGCA
RNAcentral lists this long non-coding RNA (1152 nucleotides) under Oryctolagus cuniculus (rabbit). Its description in RNAcentral is "lncRNA (ENSOCUG00000033488.1)". Lineage: Eukaryota; Metazoa; Chordata; Mammalia; Lagomorpha; Leporidae. The record is from RNAcentral.